UUUUUAUUUUUUUUAGCAACAGAGUCUCACUCUGUUUCCCAGGAUGGAGUGCAGUGGCAUGAUCAUACUUCAUUAUAGCCUCCAACUCCCUGGGUCAAGCAAUCCUUCCACCUCAGCCUUCUAAGUAGCUGGGACUACAGGCGUGCACUACCAGGCCUGGCUAAUUUUACAAUUUUCUUUUGUGGAGACAGGGUCUCCCUAUCUUGCUUAGGCUGUCUCAGUCCUGAUAAUUAAGUGAUAUGGGCACAGGGUGUCAAGUCUCAAUGCACAGCUGUGACAAGCCUGGGCCGAUCAGCCUGGAGGUGGAAAGAAGCGGGAGGGGCAGGGAGGCUUUCCCUGGUGUUCGCACCCACAAGGUGCUGUCUAGAGUCUGGGAGGAGGUGGGCAGGGGGGUGGUGUCAGCCAGAGGCUUCAAACACUGGGACACUGCUCCACAUCUGUACUGUGUGUAACUGUCCAUUUAUUCUUGACCAGGUAUUCACUUGCCCUUUACGUUCUCGGCAUUCUGCUAGGGCUGUGGGGAUUGAUCCAGGCUCUGCCAGUUCUAGAGGAUAGGAGGUCCAAGAUGAAAGCACCUGCAGGUUCAGUGUCUGGUGAGGUGUCUUCCUGAUUCCUAGAUGGCCAUCAUCUCCCUGUGUCCUCACAGGGUAGAAGGGGCUGGGGAAGCUCUCUGGGGUUCCUUUUACAAGGGCACAAAUCCCAUCCAUGAAGGCUCAGUCCUCAUGACUUAAUCACCUCCCAAAGGCCCCACCUCCUAAUACCAUCACACUGGGGCUUAGAUUUCAACAUACGAAUUUGGGGAGACACAGACAUUCAGCCUUUAGCAGGUAGGAAGGUUAGCACUUUGGUUCCCACACAUAUAAACGCCCCUAAGUCAGUGCUUCUCAGAACUUCACUGUGCAUAGGAAUCACUUGGGGAUCUUGUUAAAGCGCAGAUUCUGCUUUAGAAGUUCUGGGAUGGAGCUGCGGGUCUGCAUUUCUAACGAGCUCCCAGGCAGUGCUGCUGCCGUUGGUCAGUGGACCCACGUGGAAUAGCCAGGCUCCAGGAUGCUAUCACCUUCCAGCCUUUCCUCUGGAGGUUUUGGGGUUUCUACUUGAACCUACUGGGUCAGACGGCCUCAUAGGAAAGGGUACCAGAAUGAGAAAAACCUGAGAUCCUCACUGGUGGUAGGAUGUGCUGUAUUGAUUUGGCUCAGAAUACACUGAGACAAGAGCCCAGGUGAAAAGUGUUUCUUCUCCUCGCUGGGUAACAGAGCCAUGAGGCUCAUCCGCAGAAAAUCAACCACGACCUAAAGGCAACAUGGAAAGAGAGUGUCUCCUGUCCAUGCCCUUCUGUGACUGCCCAGUCAAGAACACCCUCUGUACCCAUGCUCACCUGAUCAUACUGGGAUCAUCUGCUGUGAUCAGCCCUCCCACUGCGUGCUGGUUCUUACCUUGUUUCCUUGGAGCUCCAGGGUACAAUCUCUGUUAGUCUGGAGCUGAGAGGGUGCUUACUAAUUACAUUUAUUGGGUGAACGUGGAUGAAACAAUCUGCUUGAAUCUUGUAAUCUAUGUUUCUAUUGGCACCAGCCCCAGGACAGGGUGUGUCAUUUGACAGGAGGUACUAAGCAGGACUCCAUAUUGAAAACACUCCAUGACAGCUACCACUAAAGGAAUUUUCAAAUUUCAUUUUUUCCCCAAACACUGCCUUUCUUAGCUGCUGAGUUUUCUGUGUCUCAUCUGCAUGGAGCCUCUUCCCCCGGAAAAGGGAUUAGGCAGGGCCUGGGCGACCCUCCAAGGAAGGCGGAGGCUAUUUGCAUCUCUAACCACAAGGAAAUUACUCCUGACAGCCCAAAGUAAAGCAGAAAUAUUAAGAACCAUGGAGUGACGUUCCUGUACCAGAAGAAAAAUGGAAGAUUAUAAAAAGUUUUAGAGGCCAGAGCACAGCAGUAAAUUGUAGAUUAUGAAUAUAUAUUUAAAGUCUGCAUGAAAGUCAGUGGCCUUUUUUCCUCAGAAUUUGCAAAAGUGUGUUUUCGAUGGGCUGUUUCAGAGUUUUUUGAUUAUGAUAGCUUAACAUAUGACGUUUCUAAUUUCCUUAUGUUAUUGUCCUUCAGAAACACUGGCUCUAUCUCCAUUUUAAAAUUCCACACAAAAAAAAAGACAGGUAAUUUGCACAUUUAGGAAUGUAUUACCCAGUUUUUAAAUGGUCCAGACAUUUGAGUUUUCCUGAUACCUGCUUCUGGCUAAUGUAUGCAAAAGAAGAAGAGCGAAGGGAGAUAAAAUUCAAAUCGAUAUACUUUGUACCCACUUAUGAAAAGCUCUGGUGAAAAAUAUGUGGACCUGAAAGAAUGCAGAGGUGACUCUCUAUUGCUACUCACCCUGAGGCCUUGGGGUUCUCGGUGAUGGAUUCAGGGCUUCUUCUCUGGCCACUGUUGGGUGAUAUUGGUGAUAUACACACAGGAGGUUAAUUUGUUGGAGCCAAAAACUACGCAUGAGUACAACAAUAAUAAAUAUUACUUUAAGUUAAAAAAUGAAUCCCGGCCAGGCACGGUGGCUCAUGCCUGUAAUCCCAGCACUUUGGGAGGCCGAGGUGGGUGGAUCACCUGAGGUCAGGAGUUUGAGACCAGCCUGAC
This 2612-nucleotide long non-coding RNA is filed under the name Homo sapiens (human). RNAcentral describes it as "HSALNT0251976". Lineage: Eukaryota; Metazoa; Chordata; Mammalia; Primates; Hominidae. The record is from RNAcentral.